Molecule: ribosomal RNA, 254 nt
Filed under: uncultured bacterium
Lineage: Bacteria
Description: partial 16S ribosomal RNA
Rfam family: Bacterial small subunit ribosomal RNA
Source: RNAcentral
UACGGAGGGUGCGAGCGUUGUCCGGAAUCACUGGGCGUAAAGGGCGCGUAGGCGGCCUGAUAAGUAGGGGGGUGAAAUCCUGCGGCUUAACCGCAGGGCUGCCUUCUAAACUGUCAGGCUGGAGCACAGUAGAGGCAGGUGGAAUUCCCGGUGUAGCGGUGGAAUGCGUAGAGAUCGGGAAGAACAUCAGUGGCGAAGGCGGCCUGCUGGGCUGUUGCUGACGCUGAGGCGCGACGGCGUGGGGAGCAAACAGG